GCGUCUGCUUCGCCCGGGGCCCAACGGUAGGCCCAGAGCCGUUCGGACGCCCGGCCCGGGGGAGCUGCGGCUGAGGGCCCCUGACCUUCCCUCGCCCCGUGUUCCGGUGCGGUUUCUUUCGUAGGGGCUUUGUCGCUUUGUAUGCGUCCGUCAGAAAUAGGAUGUCGUUUCUCACAGCAAAAAGCUUUCUAAGGAGAAUGAGAAACAGCUCUCUGACAUGACGACGCUGAACAAGCAAAAGGGAGACUUGAAAGCUUUGAGCAAAGAGAAGAGGGGAAAAAAAAAAAAGCUGGAAGUCU
Non-coding RNA from Meleagris gallopavo (turkey), 299 nucleotides. The record is from RefSeq and is a predicted model, not a curated record. NCBI's taxonomy places the organism in Eukaryota, Metazoa, Chordata, Aves, Galliformes, Phasianidae.